Oryza sativa Japonica Group (Japanese rice) is the source of this 207-nucleotide microRNA precursor. It matches the Rfam family "MIR812 microRNA precursor family". The record is from Rfam. NCBI's taxonomy places the organism in Eukaryota, Viridiplantae, Streptophyta, Magnoliopsida, Poales, Poaceae.
AAAAAGACAAACUAUGGGUUUCCGUGCCAACGUUUGACUAUCUGUCUUAUAUGAAAUUUUUUUUAUAAUUAGUAUUUUCAUUGUUGUUAGAUGAUAAAACAUGAUUAAUACUUUAUGCGUGACUUAUCUUUUUAAUUUUUUUUUCAUAUUUUUUCAAAUAAAACGAACGGUCAAACGUUGUACACGGAAACCAUGGUUUGUCUUUUU